This 255-nucleotide ribosomal RNA is filed under the name uncultured bacterium. RNAcentral describes it as "partial 16S ribosomal RNA". It matches the Rfam family "Bacterial small subunit ribosomal RNA", at positions 524 to 776 of the family's 1533-position model. The record is from RNAcentral.
UACAGAGGGUGCGAGCGUUAAUCGGAAUUACUGGGCGUAAAGGGCGCGUAGGCGGUUAUAUAAGUUAGAUGUGAAAUCCCUGGGCUUAACCUAGGAACUGCAUCUAAUACUGUAUGACUGGAGUGCAGUAGAGGAUAGUGGAAUUUCCGGUGUAGCGGUGGAAUGCGUAGAUAUCGGAAGGAACACCAGUGGCGAAGGCGGCUGAUCUGGACUGACACCUGACGCUGAGGCGCGAAAGCGUGGGGAUCAAACAGG